Molecule: ribosomal RNA, 275 nt
Filed under: uncultured bacterium
Lineage: Bacteria
Description: partial 16S ribosomal RNA
Rfam family: Bacterial small subunit ribosomal RNA
Source: RNAcentral
CCGUUGCCGGCGACCGGCGCACGGGUGAGUAACACGUAUGCAACCUGCCCGUGGCAGGGGGAUAAGCGGGGGAAACCCGUCUAAUACCGCGUAACGCGGCCUUGGGGCAUCCCAAGGCCGCCAAAGGGAGCAAUCCCGGCCACGGAUGGGCAUGCGGCGCAUUAGCUAGUCGGCGGGGUAACGGCCCACCGAGGCGACGAUGCGUAGGGGUUCUGAGAGGAAGGCCCCCCACACUGGUACUGAGACACGGACCAGACUCCUACGGGAGGCAGCAG